AGCCGCGGUGACACGUAGGCACCAAGCGUUGUCCGGAUUUAUUGGGCGUAAAGAGCUCGUAGGCGGUUCGGUAAGUCGGGUGUGAAAACUUUGGGCUUAACCCAAAGCCUGCAUCCGAUACUGCUGUGACUAGAGUUCGGUAGGGGAGCGGGGAAUUCCUAGUGUAGCGGUGAAAUGCGCAGAUAUUAGGAGGAACACCGGUGGCGAAGGCGCCGCUCUGGGCCGAUACUGACGCUGAGGAGCGAAAGCGUGGGUAGCAAACAGGAUUAGAUACCCUGGUAGUCCACGCCGUAAACGUUGGGCACUAGGUGUGGGUCUCAACCAACGAGAUCCGCGCCGUCGCUAACGCAUUAAGUGCCCCGCCUGGGGAGUACGGCCGCAAGGUUAAAACUCAAAGGAAUUGACGGGGGCCCGCACAAGCAGCGGAGCGUGUUGCUUAAUUCGAUGCAACGCGAAGAACCUUACCUGGGCUUGACAUGUACGGAAAAGCCGUAGAGAUACGGUGUCCUUCGGGGCCGUACACAGGAGGUGCAUGGCC
RNAcentral lists this ribosomal RNA (538 nucleotides) under uncultured archaeon. Its description in RNAcentral is "bacterial SSU rRNA". It matches the Rfam family "Bacterial small subunit ribosomal RNA", at positions 513 to 1050 of the family's 1533-position model. The record is from RNAcentral.